Molecule: ribosomal RNA, 253 nt
Filed under: uncultured bacterium
Lineage: Bacteria
Description: partial 16S ribosomal RNA
Rfam family: Bacterial small subunit ribosomal RNA
Source: RNAcentral
UACGGAGGGUGCAAGCGUUAUCCGGAUUCACUGGGUUUAAAGGGUGCGUAGGUGGGUUUGUAAGUCAGUGGUGAAAUCUCCAAGCUUAACUUGGAAACUGCCGUUGAUACUAUAAAUCUUGAAUGUUGUGGAGGUGAGCGGAAUAUGUCAUGUAGCGGUGAAAUGCUUAGAUAUGACAUAGAACACCGAUAGCGAAGGCAGCUUGCUACACAAUUAUUGACACUGAGGCACGAAAGCGUGGGGAUCAAACAGG